RNAcentral lists this ribosomal RNA (1763 nucleotides) under Parvicapsula curvatura. Its description in RNAcentral is "SSU rRNA". It matches the Rfam family "Eukaryotic small subunit ribosomal RNA". The record is from RNAcentral. Lineage: Eukaryota; Metazoa; Cnidaria; Myxozoa; Bivalvulida; Parvicapsulidae.
CCAUGCAUGUGUAAGUUCAUUUUCGAUUUAUGAAAGAGACUGCGAAGCGCUCAGUAAAUCAGUUAUAGUCCGUUCAAUUGUAACUAUGUGGAUAACUGUGGUAAAUCUACAGCUAAUACAUGAUACAAUCCAGGAGGUUGAUCCGCAAGGGUUAAUCUUUUGGAGCAUUUAUUAGCCAAAACCAACAGAGCAGCUUUGGGUUUACCUGAAGAUGCUUUAGUUGAAUCUAAAUAACUGUGCAUAUCCCGGCAAAUGCCGGGAAAUUUUGAUCGAAUUUCUGCCCUAUCAACUUGUUGGUAAGGUAGUGGCCUACCAAGGUUUUGACGGGUAACGGGGAAUCAGGGUUCGAUUCCGGAGAGGGAGCCUGAGAAACGGCUACCACUUCCAAGGAAGGCAGCAGGCGCGCAAAUUACCCAAUCCAGACAUUGGGAGGUAGUAACGAGAAAUAUCAAGGUGAGCCACUGGUUCACUAUUGAAAUGAACGUAAUGUAAAUACUUUGAUGAGUAACCACUGGAGGGCAAGUCUGGUGCCAGCAGCCGCGGUAAUUCCAGCUCCAGUAGUGUAUUUCAAAAUUGUUGCGUUUAAAACGCUCGUAGUCGGAUGACAAGGACAUUUUGUGCUGCCGUCUGCGUACGAGUGGUACAAGAUGUCCUUUAUUUGCAAGCACCAGUUGUGGGCUUUAAUGCUUGUGGCUGGUCACUUGCAAGGCGUGCCUUGAAUAAAGCAGAGUGCUCAAAGCAAGUGUAACGCUAGUAUGUAAUAGCAUGGAACAAAGAGUGUUGAUUCUGGUUCAGUUUGUUGGUUUGGCGGAAGCGGUUGCAAGACUGUAGUCUGCCUACGGAUAUUGGCCGGUCAAACGGUCAGUGUCCGGACUGAAUCGGGUCCUGGUUAAAAGGGCCAUUUGAGGGCGUUAGUACUUGGUGGCGAGAGGUGAAAUUCUUAGACCCAUCAAAGACUGACUAAUGCGAAAGCAUUCGCCAAGAGUGUUUUCAUUGAUCAAGAACGAAAGUUGGAGGUUCGAAGACGAUCAGAUACCGUCCUAGUUCCAUACAGUAAACUAUGCCAACACGGGAUUAGUUCGAAAUUUAUUCAAGUUGGUCCCCCCGUGAAAACUCAAGUUUUCGGGCUACGGGGAGAGUACGAUCGCAAGAUAGAAAUUUAAAAGAAUUGACGGAAUGGCACCACAAGGAGUGGAGCCUGCGGCUUAAUUUGACUCAACACGGGGCAACUCACCAGGUCCGGACAUCGGAAGGAUUGACAGACUGAUAGAUCUUUCAUGAUUUGAUGAUUGGUGGUGCAUGGCCGUUCUUAGUUGGUGGAGUGAUCUGUCAGGUUUAUUCCGGUAACGAGCGAGACCACGGUGUCUAGUUAAUGGCAGGAGCUAAUUUACUAGCUCUUGAUUCUAGACAGACAACCGGAUUGAAACCGGGGGAAGCGUGGCAAUAACAGGUCUGUGAUGCCCUUCGAUGUUCUGGGCUGCACGCGCGCUACAAUGGCAACGACAGAAAGCUUAGUUGUAUCGAGAGAUGUGACGAACCAGUAAUCGUUGUCGUGAUUGGGAUUGAGCGUUGUAAUAUUUGCUCAUGAAAGAGGAAUUCCUCGUAAGCGCGAGUCACCAACUCGUGUUGAAUACGUCUCUGCCCUUUGUACACACCGCCCGUCGCUACUACUGAUUGAACUGGUUUUUGAAGCGUAGGGAUUGGCAGAAGGAUUUUAUCCUAAUGCCGAAAACCACCCUGAAAAAAUCGUCGAGAAGAAGUAA